AUAAAAAAUAAAUAAAUCAAAACUUUCAACAACGGAUCUCUUGGUUCUGGCAUCGAUGAAGAACGCAGCAAAAUGCGAUAAGUAAUGUGAAUUGCAGAAUUCAGUGAAUCAUCGAAUCUUUGAACGCACAUUGCGCCCGCCAGUAUUCUGGCG
This 153-nucleotide ribosomal RNA is filed under the name Fusarium culmorum. RNAcentral describes it as "5.8S ribosomal RNA". The stretch from base 21 to 153 matches the Rfam family "5.8S ribosomal RNA", at positions 1 to 133 of the family's 154-position model. Rfam says of the family: 5.8S ribosomal RNA (5.8S rRNA) is a component of the large subunit of the eukaryotic ribosome. The record is from RNAcentral. Lineage: Eukaryota; Fungi; Ascomycota; Sordariomycetes; Hypocreales; Nectriaceae.